RNAcentral lists this ribosomal RNA (464 nucleotides) under uncultured bacterium. RNAcentral describes it as "partial 16S ribosomal RNA". It matches the Rfam family "Bacterial small subunit ribosomal RNA", at positions 338 to 795 of the family's 1533-position model. The record is from RNAcentral.
CCUACGGUGGGCAGCAGUAGGGAAUUUUCGUCAAUGGGCGCAAGCCUGAACGAGCAAUGCCGCGUGAACGAGGAAGGUCUUCGGAUCGUAAAGUUCUGUUGACGGGGAAAAAGAGCGGAGAGAGGAAAUGCUUUCUGAUUGAUAUUACCCUUCGAGGAAGUCACGGCUAACUCCGUGCCAGCAGCCGCGGUAAUACGGAGGAUGCGAGCGUUAUCCGGAUUUAUUGGGUUUAAAGGGUGCGCAGGCGGAUUUUUAAGUCAGCGGUCAAAUCGUGGGGCUCAACCCCAUCCAGCCGUUGAAACUGGGGAGCUAGAGUGUGCGAGAGGUAUGCGGAAUUCCUGGUGUAGCGGUGAAAUGCGUAGAUAUCAGGAGGAACACCGGUGGCGAAGGCGGCCUGCUGGACUGCAACUGACGUUGAGGCCCGAAAGCGUGGGGAGCAAACAGGAUUAGAUACCCUUGUAGUC